UAUUGGCUUUAUAAGUUUCAAAGACGUUAUUAUCAAUAAUGCAUUUUGUUCUGAGAUGAUUGUUUUUCAAAAUCCGAAACAGAUCUUGUACAGUUGUAUCGUCUGCUAAAUUUAUCAGUGUCACUAGAUUCAAAAUAAUAACAAUUGGAUCGUUAGUUAUUUUUAACCGAACACAGUCACCCUGUUCACUAUUUUAGUGUGAAUUUAGAAAUGAAUUGGGAGAUUUUUAACACACAAUAUGUUUUAUGAAAGGAAGUGACAUUUUCCAGUCUAAAGUUAUUUUUCUAAGAAUAAUAGAUCAAUGAGAAGAGAGAGAUGGCCUCGCCUAGAGAUUCUCCUGCUUCAGAAGUGCCUUCAGAAAAUGUGCUAGGAACAUUAUCCAUUAGAGACAAAUCUCUUUUAAAAAGAAACAUUAACAGACAUCAUAAUAACAACCUGAGUGCUGGAUACGUGCCUGUCCACGAGGAAGAUCUUCACAAGACUGGCCUGAGGGGACGAAAGACAUACUUGUUUUGGACUGUUGUAGCUGUAAUAUGUGUUCUAGCAUUAGCCAAUUUAAUUUUAUUACUGAUCAUGUUAAGUGUGCUGAGAAUUGGGCUGGGAAUGGAAAGUUUAGAAAUAAUACCUGACCAAUCCCUAGUAAAAUUGUACGGGGAAAAAACCGAUUUGGGGCAGAUAUACAAACGAGACGGCCUGAUCGAGGGAUACAGAGACAAACCAUUGGUAAUAACCGCAGAUAAAAGUCAAUUACUAUUAGAUAUUGUUUCUGUAGAACGAGAAUCUCGUAAAAGAGUCAUGACUCUAGAAGAGGACCAAGUGCUCUUUGAUAGAGUUCAGUCAUUCCAAGUCAAAGACCCGAAGAGUGGUAAGGAAAUAUUCUCGACGAAAAAUCCUAAUUUUGGGCUUCCGAACGGUGUGCGACACCUGCACGUGGAUUACGCUACCACUCCCAGAGUGACCAGUGCUGUCGAUGAAAAUUUGGUGCUGAGAUCCGACUCAUACAUUCGGUUCAAAGGAAAUGAAGGAACGAGGAUGGAGGGGAAGAACAUUCUGUGGUCGGCGGACCAGUUUUUGUUUCUAAAAAGUGUUAACGGAAGUAUAAUUUUAAAUGGUACCAAAGGAGUGUCCAUCGAUAUGAGUCAAAUGCCACAAGCUCCCAGUGGAACCUCGGGUUCUCCGUUUAUCAGUCAGUUCAAGGUGUGUGUCUGCAUGCCCUCAGGGAAAUUGUUCAGGGUGGCAGUGCACGCUGGUCAAAGCUCACACACUGCCUGUAUGAGGACCAACAUGGCCCAACACAUCGACCCAUGCAAACUAUCCUAAUAAAUAUCUUUUAAAAUAAGUCAUUGAAAAGUUCAUAUCAAAAUAUUAAUGUUAAUGUGGAAGAGUUAAAGGUAUCUGCGAAUUAAUAUUCCUAGUAGUAGUCUAUUACGCUUGUUCACAGUUUUUUUUUUUUAUUCCAAUUACUAAUUUUAUACCGUCUCUUGAGUAUUAAUAACAUAUGUUGAAUAUCAAAGUCUGACUUCCAGGCACAAAAGACAUGUUAUAGUGGAAAAUCCUAUUAAAAAUUGGCUCUUUUAUAAGCUGAUAUUGACCAUAAAUCCGCUUUCUGUAAAAACCCUUAAGUUGUUGACACAUUUUGUUUCCUCAGGUCCCACUUAAGGCCAAACUGGUGGGUGCAUUACUAUGUUGUUGUUUUACGUACUGUGUUAAGUAAUACAUAAGGAGACAUAUCAGUAAUAAGCUACGUAAUUAAGAGGGCAUACAGGGUAGCUGUCUGCUGUAUACCUGAGGCUUAAAUCUGUGUUAUAAGUCCAAAAAUAUUUCACUUUAAAAACUUAGUUUUUAAUCUUUGAAUUCUAAUAAACAGUUUAACAUAGGAAGAUCGGUAUUAAAUAUAAAUUAUAAGCCAUUAAUAUCAACAGAUAUUCAAUUAUUUAUUUAACAAUUCAUUAGACACUGAAAUUGAACUUUCUGAAGUGCAAUAUUUUUUGACUUAGACAGAUUUUUAUUUAUAACCUGUUAUAACCGUGUUCAUAUGCACAGCCAGCAGCUAAACUCGUAUCCUCUUAGUAUUUAGAUAAACUGGUUUAUUUUCAGUUUUUUGUACAUUAAUGUAUUAUUAGCUUAACCCUCUCCCAGUUGAUUUACUGCAAAGCGCUUUUGGUCCAAGCGUGGUUAAACCAAUUCAUUCGUUGGAUAUAUAUUCGCGUUUUGUAGGUUUACCCAGUCCAUUGGAACAAAACUUGUACGUAAUUGUGAAUGUUAUUUACAGCACUGUUAAAGUACAACAAGAAACACGGUUUUUAGUGCUAUGUACCCUGUCAAAAACUUAGAGUACAAAUACACAGACAGCGAAAUUAUCAGUUCCUAUGGGAUAAAAUACACAGAUCACGUCAUGUAGCAUUGUAAUCUGUGUAUUUUGUUUCACAGUUACGCGUUAUUUCACUGUCUGUGUGUUUUUACCCCUCACUGGGAGAAGGUUAAUAAAAAAAUAUAUUUAUUUGUCUUGAUAAAAUCUAGUCACUGUCACAAAGUAUUUUUAAAGUAUUGAAAUAAACUAAUUGAUUGUUUUGUAUCAAUGAAAAACGGCAAAUGUCUGAAAAAAUCCUGUUUCCUUCUAAACCCUUUUCUUUGAAUCAAUUCAACCAGUUUGCCAAUGAAUUUGCCAACAUCCUGGAGAUAAUAAUUUACAAUUUGCUCUUCUGUUUCAGUGAAAAUAAAUUGAGUUACCUCGUAAGGGAAUUGAUUGGUGUUGCUAAGUAUACAACUAAUUGGUGUUGUUUUGCUCAAAUUUAGAAUAUAAUUAGUGAGUAGGCUUGUCAAGUUCUAGUCAAUCAGCAAAUUGUAGAGUAGGUUUGUGUGUGUGUGACGGAUUACUGCCCCACUUCUGUUGAUAUUAAUUAAGUCAAUGAUGUUAUAUAUACAUACUGUAGUACUUGUAAAUAAUUAAUAGGUAUAGGCCAAAUGGUUGUUCUGUAUUAGGUUAGAAUAGUAAUUCUAAAUUAGGCCUACAGUAUGGUUUAUGAAAAUAUAUUGAUUUUAUAUGA
RNAcentral lists this unclassified non-coding RNA (3047 nucleotides) under Homalodisca vitripennis (glassy-winged sharpshooter). RNAcentral describes it as "beta-sarcoglycan-like, transcript variant X1". Lineage: Eukaryota; Metazoa; Arthropoda; Insecta; Hemiptera; Cicadellidae. The record is from RNAcentral.